Cydia fagiglandana is the source of this 2685-nucleotide long non-coding RNA. RefSeq lists it as uncharacterized. The record is from RefSeq and is a predicted model, not a curated record. NCBI's taxonomy places the organism in Eukaryota, Metazoa, Arthropoda, Insecta, Lepidoptera, Tortricidae. The transcript has 2 exons.
CUUCAAACCUUUCGCGCGCGAAGUUUGCGGGCGGGCGUUCCAGAGGAAAGUCGACUUGCGGAGACACAGGGAGACGCAAUACGCGGACCUUAGACACGUGCCGCAUAUUGACGUGCAUGGUAUGCAUGCGGAGAUGAUGCCGGAGCAUAGAAUAGACCUCCACCCGCCACACCCUGAGAUGCGGCAGCACCCCGACUUCAGACCGCCGCAUGCGCCCGCGCCGCUCCAGCCGCUUGCCUCCUGAACGGCGACCGCCUUCGCGCCGCCCAGCUGGCGCUGAGGCAAUCGCAAUCCUGUAGCCAUCUGCACAGAGUCUAAAAUAGAACAACACUGACACUAUUAGAGUUCUGCGUUUGACUACCAGUGCUGAGGCGAUAUCGACUCUGUGGCGAUGUGCGCAGUCUGUAAUUGUACAACAGUGAUUAUUAUUGGAUUUUCCACCCUAUCGACCCUGUAGCGAGGUGCAGAGUCUGAAACAGAAGUGAUUCUAGACUACUGGAGUCUGGUAACAACUCCCUCUGAGGUAAUAGUGACUCUGUGGCGAUCACGAUAGAGUGUGAAAUGGAACAACGUGAUUUUUAGAGAGUAUUGAAAUAUCUUUUUUGGAAAAACGUCCGAAAAAUUAUACUGAGGCAAUUUCAAUCCUGUGACCUUACAAAAUUUUAUUUACGCGUUUUAGUUUUCUUUGACUAUACCAAAAUAUUUAACGCUUUCCGUACCUACGUAAGUUUAUUUAGUGAAGAUUUUCCAAAGAUUACCAAAAUACCUUUAAUUAAUUAAAUUGUUCAAGAACUUAAUACCUACACGCUACGGUAAUCCAAAGAUUAUUAUUUUAAGGCAUUUAACUUAGUUGUGACAAGGUUAAUGUACAAAUUCUCAUAUUUAAACUGUGCUAAUUUAUAAUUUUAUUUAGAUUGAACUAAGUAGAUUAUUUUAUACGACGUUUUAAAAAAAGUGAAUUAGGUCGUAAGGGACAAAUUAAAUAGUCGUACUUCUGGACCCACAAAAUAUUGUUAAUAACUGCUGUUUAUAAUAUUUAGCUAAUUUUAGGCUAAAAUAUAUUAUUAUACCUAUUGUGAAGGCUUCGUGCAUGUGAGUUUUUGAUCUCCUUUUAAUUAAUAAUGCGAAUAAAUAGUGUAAAUGUAGACUGAUAAUGCCAUUCCAAAUAUUAUAUUUUGAGAAUGUUGUUUUUGAUUUUUGACUUAGUUUUAAAUAAAUUCCGAAUAAGCCAUUCCAGUUGAGUUACUUGCUUACUAUCACCAAGUUAUUGUUGUGCUUUGUCUACAAAACGAUGAUUUUCUUAAAUCCACAGAAAACUUGAAAAAAUCAAGUCAUUAGAAAUAGUUUUCAAAGCUCUCGGCAACAGCAUACAAAUUUUAUUUUUUGUCUUAUUGUGACCUUCACAGAAAUCAUAAUUAUUAUUUUAAAUAAUGCAGUCACAGAAUACCUAAUUUAAUUCGCUAUCCAGUAUACAGUUCCUUACUUAAAAUUACUCCUCAGAGAUCAAAUUUAUUUUAUAUUAUUUAAACAACAAAUACUCACAUAUCACUAUAUUUGAUAUAGUAUCGUUUAGUUAUAAUGAAAGUUAUUUGUUGCAGCGUUGUAAAUAUUUCACAUUAUUAUGCUAAGUAUAUUGAAUGUACAAAAUGUUGUCUAUUUUUAUAGCUUUAGUUACAUUUUAAAGCACUAGGUUAAUAUAAUUCCAUCAAAUAUUAAUUGCAAAGAUAUAAACUAUAUUGGCGUUUUGUUCUCACUUAUUAAACACCAAAUGAUGUAGAUAUAUGUAUGUACGUGCACCAAAAAAUAGUUUAAUAAAAUAAUUUCUAAACCUAAGACAGAAAUGAAUUUACAGUAGAUAUUAUAUACAAACAAAGUGGCGGUAAAGACCUCGUUAUCAGAGAAAAGGGAUCAUAAUGUAAAAGAAGCGCCAUUAUUAUUUGCCAACGAUCCAAUAUCACGUAACUUUUCGGUUCCUUUGCCCUGAUAAUGCCACAAAAUAUGUUUCAAUAAUGGCUAUAAGUUAUUGUAAAAUAUAAACUUUGCACAAAAGCUUUAUCGUCACAUAAUAUUUGGAAAUAUAUUAAAAAGCUGUGAAUAGUGCUUUUAAAGCUUCACUACCUUAAAUACAGAUUAUGUCAGUGAAAUCCUUAAUGCCAAAGACAAAAUAGAAAAAAUGUAAAUAGGCAAAAAUAGAAAGCAGUUUCAUGUAUUUAAUUACUUUAUAAGUUUAUAACAGGUUAUAGUUUAAAUGUACUAUGUACACUAGUGUUCAAAAGUGCAUGGAGAUGUUUCAAGUUUCAACCGUCAGAUUAAGGCAUUACGAUCGACAUCUAUCCAAGCACGUUUGAACGCCACUGUGCUAACUCGUAAGUACAUGCAAAAUAAAGACGUUGUAAGGGACAUUUAAAUGUUUCUUUAUAUUCAAACAGACACAUAUUUGAACUCACCAAGUACGUGUAAACUGAAAUUUUAUAUGUUUCGAAAUUUAAAUGUUUGUAUUAAUUGUAUUUUAACGUAAGUGUCGAAGUUUUCACAUAAUUCCUUAAUGUUAAUAUUAAUUGUAUAUAUUGUAACAUAUAGUUAAGUACGUAUAAACGGAUCCAAAGACAAACGUGCAAUCCUAUGUCGUAAUAUAAUACCUAAAGUAUGUUAAAGACGAGUCACUUCAAUAAAAGAUGAUGUUUA